Papaver somniferum (opium poppy) is the source of this 5280-nucleotide long non-coding RNA. RefSeq lists it as uncharacterized. The record is from RefSeq and is a predicted model, not a curated record. NCBI's taxonomy places the organism in Eukaryota, Viridiplantae, Streptophyta, Magnoliopsida, Ranunculales, Papaveraceae. The transcript has 2 exons.
UGCCCAAAAGAUAAAUUUUAUCGAUUGAUAAUGUUUCUUUAAACACCAAUGUUUCUUCUUCAUCUGCAAUCUCUGAUACUCAUUCAUCUUCUUUUGAAGAAUUUGAGAAUAAUGAAUUAAAUAAAAAAAUCAAUCACCAUAUUGGUUUCAAUAUUUUUAUUGGGAUCCCUUCUAAUUUUCCGAACAUGAGGAGUAUUUGUCGUAACCUGAUUGUGAAGAAUGCUUCAGCUGAAACUACAGAUAAGUUACAAGCUCAAGACGAUGAUGGGCUCAUUGCUUUUGCUCGGAUUAUGAAGCUGAAGAUUGAAGCUGUUAGAACCAGUAUAGAGGAAGAAUCUAUUGAGGUAAUUGGUUUUAACCCAAUUUCAUAUUCUAUGGUUAGUCAUGAUUUACAUGGAUCAUAAAAUCAUAUCUUGAAAUAUCAGAGGGUUGGGUCAAGAUGACAAAAUUAUUGAAAUUAGGAAGAACAAUGUAACAAUUUGCACAAUCAAGAGUAAAAAAAAGAAAGAAAUUGUUACUGAUUCACUUAUUAGGUCUUUGCGGGGAAAUUCCAAUUGUAAUUUCGUGUAUGUCCCUUCUGAGGGUGCUUCUGGAGGUAUAAUAGUGAUGUGGAAGGAAGGAGUGGUGAAGAUGGAAGACUAUCUACUAGGGGAUUUUUCACUCAGAAUAAAAUUCAAGAAUUGUUCUGGUAACUUUGUAUGGCAUUUCACGUCUGUUUAUGGAAAUCUGACUAUGGAUACUACAGAUAAUAUUGGCAAGAAUUUUCUGAUAUUAGACUUUUAUAUGAUGGCCCAUGGGCAGUUAAAGGAGAUUUUAUUGCAAUUCUUUCUCAAUCCGAGAGAAAUGUUUCUGGUGGUAGUGCAACUAGUAGAAAUUAUUUCAGAAGAUUUGUUAGUAAGCAUGAGCUGAUGGACCUGCCUAUGUCCGGGGAAAAAAAAUACUUGGACUAACUCUCAACAUUUGGAUAAAUUUUUAGUCGCUGAAGAAUGGCGUGCACAUUGCCUUGAGCUCAUGCAGAUGAGGACGAAAAUACCUAUCUCUGAUCACUCUCCAAUUCUCUUAUCUUGCAACUAUGGUAUGAAGUUCAAGGCCCUUUUCAGACUUGAUAAUUAUUUGCUUCAUCAUCCUUCUUUACUUCCAAAUUUGAAGUUACAGUGGUCUAAUUUUACUUUUACUGGAAAGCCUAGAUUUAUUUUUGCUAAGAAGCUGCAAUCACUGAAUUUUUUAUUAAAGCUUGGAAGAAAUCAAUGGGUGAUUUGCAAUUACAAGUGGAUCAGCUUGAGGAGUUUAUUGAGUCUAGGGAAAUUAUGGAAGAAGAUGCACAAUUGACUAUUAAUGAUGUUCUUGUCAGGGAGGAGGCUAACGCAAAACAUGCUUCCUUAUCUUUAAAUAUUAAAAGGAAAUGGGGUCAAAGGGCUAAAGAGAGAUGGGCUAAAGAUGCAGAGCAAAAUUUCAGGUAUUUACAUCAAAUGGCCUCCUAUAAAUAUUGUUAUAGAAAUAUCAAUUGUUUAAACAUAGAAGGUGAGCUUUACUAUGAUAAAGUGAAAAUUGCAAAGGAAGCAACAGAAUUUUAUUCUAAUCUUUUCACUGAAGAUCACUUUAUAAGGAUGGAUUUUGAAGAUAUUGAGCUACCUACCAUUUAUGUAUCUGAGAGCAUAUCUUUGGAAAGGCCCUUCUCUGAAGAAAAAGUGAAGCAUGUCAUUUGGAACUUUGGCUUUAAUAAGGCUCUGAGACCGGAAGAUUUGACUAUGGAGUUUUUUAAAGUUGUUUGGGAGGUAAUUAGGUUAUUAAAGAAUUUGAAUCCAGGGGUUCUCUUGAUUGGAGAAUCAAUUGCACCAACCUUAAGUUGCUUCCAAAAUGCAUUGGCGAUGUAUCUCUUCACAAUCUUAGACUAAUUAGUUUGAUAGGAUGGGUGUAUAAGAUUUUGUCAAAAUUACUGGCAGAUAGGAUGAAGUUAGUUUUACCUUCCUUAAUCACUAAUUUUCAAGGAGAUUUCAUCCAUGAAAGGCAAAUCAGUGAUGGUAUAUUGAUUGCAGCAGAAUUAAUUGAUUCAAGGAAAAGAAAGAAUAAGUCUGGCUUUGUUUGUAAGGUGGAUUUUACAAAGGCUUUUGACAACAUCAAGUGGAAUUCUGCUGACAUUGUUCUUCAAAGGUUUAUCUUUGGAAAUAUAUGGAGAGGAUGGAUAAAGUGGUGCAUCUCUCGGGCAAGAUUUUUUAUCCUCGUUAAUGGUGAAGCUACUCCUUGUUUCAAGAGUCAGAAAGGAAUUAGACAAGGCGAUCAUAUAUAUCCUUUCUUAUUCAUUACGGUGGCUGAAAUUCUCUCGAAGAUGAUCCAAAAAGCUGCUUCAUUUGGUCUUCUGUUUGGUUUUAAAGUUUCUACAAAUGGUUCUCUUAUCAAUGAUCUCCAGCUCGCAGACGAUUUAAUAGUUUUAAUUGAUGACAUGGUGAAUCAGAUCUCGGAUUUGAAGGAUAUUUUGUCUGCUUUACUUGUUUCUGGUUUAAAGGUUAAUCUCAGUAAAAGCUUUGUGGUUGGUAUAAGGGAUAACCAUCUUGGAAUCCCUCAUGGCAGUAAAUCAAAAUCAAAAUUUGUUUGAGACGUGUUGAUUCAUAGAUGCCGCCAGAAGCUAAGCACUUGGAGAAGAAGAUACCUUUCUAAAGGUCAGCGUCUUAUCAUGAUAAUUAGUGUUCUUGCGACUAUCCAAUCUAUUAUUGUCUCUAUUUCAAAUGCCCAUGACAGUGGUUAAGGGAAUAAAGAAAAUAAUGCAAAAUUUCCUUUGGAUGAGAGAAAAAGGCUCUUUGGCGGCAGAUUAUUAAUGAAAAAUUUGGAGGUAAUCCUGAUUUUUUCCCCCUAAUGCUUCUAAGAAAUCUGUGGGUAAUAGUCUAUGGGAUGGAAUUCUUAAAUCAAGGGAUUAUGUUAAGGCAAACACGUUUCGUAUAGUGCAUAAUGGUAGGAGCAUUCACGUUUGGUCGGAUAAAUAGAUUGGUGAAAUUAGUCUUAAGGUUAGUUUCCAAUUAAUCUAUAAACUAUCAAGGUGUAAGUCUACCUCUGUUAAAGAUAUGCUUACUACUCAAGGGUCUUGGAAUUUUAAUUUCAAAAGGAAUUUGAAUGAAGCUGAAAUUGGUGAAGUGCCUCAUCUUAUUCAAUUAUAAUACAGUUUUGCUACAAAAAUCCACAACUGUUUAGAAAAUGAUGUUAGAAGGUGGGGUUUUGCUCAAGAUUUUUCUGUAGCUAACUGUUGCAGUUCUAUGGAUGUGGAUGGGUUCAUUGCAUUUCCGCAUAAACAGGUAUGGAACACAAAAAUUCUUUUGAAAGUCUCUUUUCUUAUAUGGACUUUAUGUCAUCAAGGAGCUCCUACUUUAGACAAGCUACAUAGGCCUGGCUUAGUAAACUCAGAUCAGUGCAUUUUGUGUGAUGAUGUUCAAGAAACUCAAAGCCAUCUUUUUCUUCAUUGCGACGAGACUAGGAAGGUUUGGAAAUGCUUCCUUGAUAGUUUUGGAGUAAGUUGGGUUUUCUCAGAAAGUAUUAAAGCUAAAAUUUGGGAAUUGACAAAUAAGAAGAGUAACAAUAUGGUGAAGAAAAUUCGGGGUAUCUUGCCUUUUGCAACCUGGUGGACAUGAGCGCAACGACAGGUUAAAAACCGGAAGAAAAGUAUUAAUCAACUAAUUAUUUAUCUCAAGUGUACGUUGUUUAAUUGGAGCAUCCAUUCUAAGCUUUUGGGGGGAAUUACUCUGGGUACUUCUAUUUGUAAUUGGGAAGCUGUUAUACACAACUAAUUUUUGUAUCUUUUUCCAUUUUUCUUUCAUUGUAUCUUUUGACAUUCAUUGCUUUGAUGAUUGUUAGUUUUUAAUAUAAUUUUCCCUUUUUCUUUAAAAAAAAAAUUAGAAUGUCGCAGGUUGUUUUAAGAGUAAAUGAGAUUGUGGAAGAGAGGGGGAAAACGUGCUUUGUUCACACGUCUGAGUGAUGUGUACCCACCCAUUUUUGGAGAAAAAGUUAGUCCCAAACCCAUAUUUUCCCGUUGAAUAACCAUUAGUGUUGCGGCAUCAGCUCAUAGAGAUGGAGAUCGACAGAAGCAAUUAUUGGCUCUACAACAGCAACAACAAAAAUGUGUUCGGAGGAUUUCCGUGAGUCGAAAUUGAGGUUUGUUGGCCUGAAUUUAAGGCCGAAAAAUCAAAUUCAAAGCCUGAUCUUGCUGUUGAUUCAUACGAAUGGUUGACGGUGGUAAUUGGAUGGGUUGAUAUGGUUGUAUGAUAACAUGAAUCAGCUUAUUUUGGCAGUGGUGAUUUACCUAAUCCUAGAUUGAGUUUUGGUUGCAAGUAUGAAGACUCAGUUGUGUAGAAACAGAAGUCCAGGGAACAGAGAUGAGAAGUGAUGGCAGUUGGUGACUGAUGGUGUUGGUUCAUGCGGUCUAAAUGAGACCUUUGAGAGAAGAGAGUAUCGAUUCACGAGUUUACUGGUUUGGGUUCGUGUAGGAGUUGUGUUGUAAAACUUCUGGUACCUCAAAUGAGAACAACUAGGUACUUGGUUGAACUGAAGUACAGGGAGUUAGAAGAGAUUUGUGGAGAACUGCUGGCUCGAUUUGAUUUUAUAUGAAUCUGUUUAAUCGAAUGGAGUUUAGUCGCUGGUGUUGUUUGCUUAUACAACUAGUAGGACGAGAUUACAAGACCCAAGGAAUAGAAAAUUGUUGGUGGUUAAUAUAAUGCACGCCUAUUGUCUGAGAAAUUAGCUGAGAGAAAAGCAAGGGUCCUAAACGUAAUGAAUUUGGUUGAAUCAAUAUGGUGUUAACUGAAAGAAAGAGCUGAGACUUGGUAUUGAGUCGUGAAGCUUGUGGUUGUAUAUCGAGCUUAAAAAGAAGAUGGAAACAACAAAGAGGGUGAAAAUGUGCUGAGUUCGAUGAUGUUAAGUUCAGUUAAAAUCAGUCUCAAGAAGAGAACUGAUGCGAUGGUCGGGAUGUUGGCUGAGUUUGUACAACGAGUUGAGAGAAGUGCUGUGGUCGGAAAUUGAUUUGGUCAGCGAAUAGUAGUUGGCUAAACUGUGCAGGCGGUGGUUCGCGAGUCUGGAAAGGAGCUGAAGUUGACGGACAUGACAGGAAGUAGCUGCACUUGGAAAGAGUUUGGAUAUGGAAUUCAAAUUAAGUUUUGUAUGGAGUUUGUCAUCAACUAAAUUCAUGGAUUUUUGUACUUGGAUUUAAAUUAAGUUUUGUAUGGAAUUCAGAUUACAAGAAGGUGAAAAUGUUGUUGGUUGUUGAGAAAUGGGAAAGGUGUUUAUGCUUUUUGGUUUGUA